AUUGUUGAGAUAAUAUGCAAGAGAUAGCCUAAAUCCGAGCCAAGACUCUCAGAAUGUUUAUCCAAGAUCUGCCUCUACCAGCCAUCUACAAUCAGCAACUUGUCACAAAUAUUAGAAACCUUAGAGGUUACAGUAGAGGAAAAGGAAGCUGGGCUGUUGAUUGUGGACCCCAUAGCAUCCCUGGCUCAUAGGGAGAUGUUGGCGGGGUUGUCCCAGGCAAACGUAACUCAGGUCAACCAGUUGUUGUCUUGAGUUGCGACACUCAAGUCACUUGCACAGCACCUCAACAUGUGUUGUUGUUACAAAUCAGGUGACCAGUAGGUUCUUGGACAAAGAGCCCGAGAUCACAGGAGAAGGAAAUGAAGGUGAGGCUGAGACUUCUGUUUCUCAGCUUAUAAUUGCGAAAUCACCCGCUGCCCCUUUUGCAGCGUUUGCCUCUAUUAUUGGAGCAGGAGGAACAGAAAUCAAAGGUAUAGACCCUAAGAUUGUUUAUUUUGCCUCUUACUAUAUGCAGAUCCUGUCCCACGAUCUUGGAUUAACUAUAAUUAUUAAUUUAAUGCAUUAAAAAUUAUCCUCUGUCAUUUACUACUUGUGUGAUUUUUACCAUUAAAAUAGAGAAGUCCUUGGUAAUCCUCUAUUUGAAUUUUCCUUUUAUCUUCCCUGGCAACCACAUGAGCUUCCUUACUUUAGUAUUUAAAGUUAUGUAAAUUUAGGAUAAAACUUGUGUGUGUUUAUGAUACUAGUUUGUACAUUGCUUUACAGAUGUGUUCACAUGCAUUUGUGAUGGUAUAGUUAUA
This is a long non-coding RNA of Penaeus indicus, 797 nucleotides long. RefSeq lists it as uncharacterized. Lineage: Eukaryota; Metazoa; Arthropoda; Malacostraca; Decapoda; Penaeidae. The record is from RefSeq and is a predicted model, not a curated record. The transcript is spliced from 4 exons.